Molecule: ribosomal RNA, 357 nt
Filed under: uncultured Bacteroidota bacterium
Lineage: Bacteria; Pseudomonadati; Bacteroidota
Description: bacterial SSU rRNA
Rfam family: Bacterial small subunit ribosomal RNA
Source: RNAcentral
UAAAAGAUGGGCAUGCAUUCUGAUUAGCUAGUUGGCGGGGUAACGGCCCACCAAGGCGACGAUCAGUAGGGGUUCUGAGAGGAAGGUCCCCCACACUGGCACUGAGAUACGGGCCAGACUCCUACGGGAGGCAGCAGUAGGGAAUAUUGGGCAAUGGUCGCAAGACUGACCCAGCCAUGCCGCGUGCAGGAAGACUGCCCUCUGGGUUGUAAACUGCUUUUAUCUGGGAAGAAAAAGUCCAUGCGUGGAAAAUUGCCGGUACCAGAUGAAUAAGCACCGGUUAACUCCGUGCCAGCAGCCUCGGUAAUACGGAGGGUGCAAGCGUUGUCCGGAUUUAUUGGGUUUAAAGGGUGCGUA